Molecule: long non-coding RNA, 433 nt
Organism: Mauremys reevesii (Reeves's turtle)
Lineage: Eukaryota; Metazoa; Chordata; Testudines; Geoemydidae
Exons: 3
Source: RefSeq, a predicted model, not a curated record
CUGAGCCCUGGGCAGCCAUUGUGAGCAGCAGCCAGACACAGACGGCUGGUAAAGCUUGGAUGGUGUGAUAGAAUGUACAGACCGCACACUGGUACCGAAGGGGUUAAAGAACAAUAUUGGGUUGAUAGCCCCACCCCUCCAGACCUGCAGUGCAUGCUCCAACUGGAGAGAAAACUUAAAAGGGAGCAGCUCAGCUCAGAAGAUGGGGCUCGGGAGGAAGGCAGACCUACCCUGAGGGCUCCUGAACACAGGUGCCAAAGAAAUCUUCCUGUGCGAGCAACAGAACUAUAUGCUGAUCCCAAUUGGGGCUGAAGGAGUGGCUACAAAGUGCUAAAAUGCUUUCCAGACUUUCCAGAAGGAUUGGUCCCUGCUCUGAGUAGCUCGUACUCUAAGGACAAACAGACAAGGGGACAGAAGAACACAAACAGGGCAG